CACGUAGGGGGCAAGCGUUGUCCGGAUUUAUUGGGCGUAAAGAGCUCGUAGGUGGUUCGGUAAGUCGGGUGUUAAACCCCCAGGCUCAACCUGGGGACGCCACUCGAUACUGCUGUGACUAGAGUCCGGUAGGGGAGCGUGGAAUUCCUGGUGUAGCGGUGAAAUGCGCAGAUAUCAGGAGGAACACCGAUGGCGAAGGCAGGUCUCUGGGCACUUACCGACGCUGAGGAGCGAAAGCGUGGGGAGCGAACAGG
RNAcentral lists this ribosomal RNA (254 nucleotides) under uncultured bacterium. RNAcentral's name for it is "partial 16S ribosomal RNA". It matches the Rfam family "Bacterial small subunit ribosomal RNA", at positions 524 to 776 of the family's 1533-position model. The record is from RNAcentral.